RNAcentral lists this ribosomal RNA (253 nucleotides) under uncultured bacterium. RNAcentral's name for it is "partial 16S ribosomal RNA". It matches the Rfam family "Bacterial small subunit ribosomal RNA", at positions 524 to 776 of the family's 1533-position model. The record is from RNAcentral.
UACGUAGGGUCCGAGCGUUGUCCGGAAUUAUUGGGCGUAAAGGGCUCGUAGGCGGUUCGUCACGUCGGGAGUGAAAACUCGGGGCUUAACCCCGAGCCUGCUUCCGAUACGGGCAGACUAGAGGUAGGCAGGGGAGAGCGGAACUCCUGGUGUAGCGGUGGAAUGCGCAGAUAUCAGGAGGAACACCAGUGGCGAAGGCGGCACUCUGGGCCAGUACUGACACUGAGGAGCGAAAGCGUGGGGAGCGAACAGG